RNAcentral lists this long non-coding RNA (1191 nucleotides) under Struthio camelus australis. RNAcentral describes it as "lncRNA (ENSSCUG00000012214.1)". The record is from RNAcentral. Lineage: Eukaryota; Metazoa; Chordata; Aves; Struthioniformes; Struthionidae.
CCAAAAUAACAAGAUGCAGUUUGGGUAAGCAGAAGGUGAUGUCCCCAUUCCUGUCACUGGAGACUGAUCAACUUCAGUUCUCGUUGCGUGUGCCAACUCUUUCUCCUACAGAUUCCUAGAUUUCCAAAGAAAAGUAAUUAUUGAGGUGAUGCAAAGGACUCAUCGCUUUGUGCGUAACUCCAAUCAAGAGCCUGAAGGGCACCAAAACAGACGUGCCACUGGAGCCUGCUACUACGCACAACUGGCAUCUUUGUUACACCGCUGGAGGCGCUGAGCCUGCUGCUUCCACUGCCAGAGCUACGAGAUCGCUACCGGUGGAGCUUCAGCCUGUUCAGCCAUUACAGAGGUGCUACUGGGCCUGGAUCAGACAAGAGGAAAAAACCCUGCUGUGAGAGCUGCCAUCAGAAGUGGCAAAAGUCACAGCUGAAGUAUUCGGUGAAGUUAGUGACGUGGGACGAUUCCUAGCAACUGGGAAGCCACAAAAAUGAAAUGGUAAGCUAGUUUUUCUUCUGUUGCAGAGCAGCUGAAGCUUGGAGGCAGAGGGAAUUUGGUUUCAUUAUCAAAGAAAAAUAAUUUCAAGAGUAAACUGUAUAUACAAUUAAUUUCGCCCACAUGAGAACGCAAGAAGGAAAUAUGGACCUGGUGUUUGUUUGUGACUGAAGCCACAUCCCCUUAGGGCCAUUGAGAAAGCUCAGAUGUAAAGAGAAAAGUUGUGAUCCACACCAAAGACUAGAAGAUGAAACAAGACAAGGAUUCUAAUCCAUGCAGAUUUCUAUCCAAAUUUUCUUCACAGAUGAGGAAGUUGUGAAACAGGGCAUAGUUUAUGCCAGAGAAAAAGCCUUUGAUCUCUGCUGUAGCAUUCCAAUAAAACAUUCAGCAUUUCUCUAUUUCUCUCACUUUAUUAGGGAGCCUGCUCUUUGGAUGGUUGCCUGCCUACUGUUUGCAUCUCUACCCAGAGGUCAACCAGACACAACGUGCUAUGCAUUCGUUGGAGAAACUGUCAUUUUGCCUUGCACCAUCCCCUCUCCUGGGGAGAUGGAUGUUUCCAAUUCAAAGGUCUACUGGCAGAUAGAGUCUAUCUUAGUGCAUUUUUUUCACAAUGGAGAAGAUUCACUGGUGGGCCAGGAUACAAACUACCAUGNNNNNNNNNNNNNNNNNNNNNNNNNNNNNNNNNNNNNNNUUAGAGGAUGA